RNAcentral lists this long non-coding RNA (1033 nucleotides) under Fukomys damarensis (Damara mole-rat). RNAcentral's name for it is "lncRNA (ENSFDAG00000031815.1)". The record is from RNAcentral. Lineage: Eukaryota; Metazoa; Chordata; Mammalia; Rodentia; Bathyergidae.
GUCCUUUUUUUGUUCUUGCUUCCACAGUGUUGUUUCUGCUUCCUUUUUUCUUUUUAGGUUUAUUUCAAUCUGAUGGGGCUUGGGGAGACAGCAGACACUGAAUGUCCUUUAUCAAUUUUGAAGUACAGAUCAAAACGAAGAAGUACAAAUUCUGCAUGCAUUUUGGAUUACCAAAUACAAACAUGCCGUUUUGACAGAAAGCAGGUCCUAUUGUGGCUUGAUUUAGAGAAGAAGAUUGCCACUGGUGAUGUCUAUGCGAUGGUUAGUCUUGAUUGGCAGCUUAACUGGGCAGAGGCCUAGGAAUCACUAGCGCAGACUCCGGGUACGUUGCUGAGCAGGUUUCCAGGGAUGCCGGGCAUGGGGCUGAGGGGAACCCGUCCUGAAUGUGGGUGGCAGUCCAGUCGGCUGGACCUUCGACAGAACUAAGAUGGGAGGAGGAGGAAGCCGGCGCAGGCUCUCUCUCUCCUUCUAAUUUCCUCUGCCAGGCCAUUCCAGGGUGCUCUGCCACACCGUGGGCCUGGGAACGGGGAACAGCCUGCUGGGGACUGAAAUCCCUGUAACUCUGAGCCGAGAUAAACCUUUCCCUACAUGAUGAUUCCUCUCUGGUGCUUUGCCACAGCCCAUUGCAGCAGGCCUGCCUCUUGUGGGCGCCUAAAUUUGCCUCAGGCAGCACUGUCCCAGAGCCACUAUUUUGACACCAACGACGACUACGCAGCAGUGGUCCAGCCUUCUCCUCCCACGAGCAGAGUGGAAUCCAGGCUCCCCCUGUGUAGCCGGCAGCUUCUCCAGUCCCAGCUCAGCUUGGAGACCGAGGGCAGCCUGACUGCUCUGCAUCAGAGGCCCCCACGUGUAUGUGGAGAAGCCCAAAACCCCAUAAUCCGGACCACUGCCAGCCCUGGGCUGCAGACAGGACCGCGGCUGCUUCCAGGGCUCCUCUGAGUCAGGACAAAGGAGACCUGCACAGAGGUUCUGCUGCCUCAGGCACCUCCCUGCCAGCCCUGCAGCUGCUUUGUGUCAUCUGGUGGGUCUGGUG